Long non-coding RNA from Mytilus californianus (California mussel), 515 nucleotides. RefSeq lists it as uncharacterized. The record is from RefSeq and is a predicted model, not a curated record. The transcript has 4 exons. NCBI's taxonomy places the organism in Eukaryota, Metazoa, Mollusca, Bivalvia, Mytilida, Mytilidae.
UAGAAGAACAAAGAUGCCAAUGAAAUCAAUUUUGAAAACUCCGAUUCAUGUAUCUAUUUGGCUUUUGUCAUUAUUUUUCCUUACUGUGUUCUCUGCACAUAACUGUGAUGUUGGAUGGAUUGUAGGAUACAGCAAAUGUUAUAUGGUGCACCAAAAACUGUUAACAUGGGAUGACGCUAUGCUUUAUUGCCAGUCUCGUGGAGGACAUCUUGCAAACAUUGAAACAGAACAGGAAAGGGGUCUGAUCCAAUCAAUAAUGGAAAGAUAUAAUCCUGGGAUAUACUGGCUGGGCGGAAAAGAUGACGUCACUGAAGGUGAUUGGCGUUGGCAACCAUCAAAAGAUAAAAUAAACGAAACAUUUUGGAACCCCGGCGAACCUAACGAAUUUACGGGAAAUGAGGAUUGUCUAACUACAUCGAUCUAUGAAAAUGGUCUCUGGAACGAUAACGCAUGUGGGAAUUAUUACUGCCUUAUUUGUGAAAAAUAAGCUAUGAUAUUAAAUUAUUUAUAUUUUG